Molecule: long non-coding RNA, 1634 nt
Filed under: Olea europaea subsp. europaea
Lineage: Eukaryota; Viridiplantae; Streptophyta; Magnoliopsida; Lamiales; Oleaceae
Source: RNAcentral
GCCCGAUCGAGAGCCACUACAGAAAACUUGAAUCGGAAAACGCAAGCAGGGUGAGGACAUGAGGAUGAAGAUGAAAGCAAUCAGAUUUGGCUUCUUCUUCUUUUCUUUUUUUUUAAUUGUGGGCCUUUUUGGGAAUUGGGCCUCUUGCUUUUUCUUUUUCUUUUUUUAAAAAUAAAAAGAUAGGCCCCAAUCUAAUAUGAGAUAACUUGGUUUGUGCUGUAUCAGAAAGAGGAAAAAUCGCACCCCAAUUGCAAAUGAAAUUGGUCUUGCAAUUGUGCAAAUCCUAUCUCUAUUCUCAAUCCCUCCCACCCUCGUACCAGCCCCUGCCCUAUGACAGUGUGAUUGUUGUCAGCCGGCGACGAGUCGUCGUCUCGACUCUAGCCUCGCUGAUCUCUGCCACCAGUCUACGUGAUUGCAUCGCUCUGGUGAGUCCGUGAUUUUGCUGCCCUCUUUUUUUUUUCUUUUUUUUUCUCGUUCUUUUAGAGUUUAGUUUAUUUUUUAAUUUAUCAUGUAUAUGUAUGAGUUAUAUUUUAUGUUUUAUGAGUUAUGAUUGUGUCUGUGAGCCUAUUGACUGUGGCAAUUUUGAUUUUUGUGAAUUUUAGACUCGUGGAAUUCGAGAAUUCGAGAAUGUUGGAGAUUUUACUGUUGAUUGGUAAAUUUUAUGAUUUCUGAUAUUUAAAAAUUUGUGAAUUUAAAUAAUAUUUGGUAUUUGCAGACCGUGAAUUUGAUUUGUGAUAAAUGAAAAUGAUAAAUUGGUGAAUUUGUAUGAUAAAUAAUUGUUGAUCUCGCGAAUUGACCUUUCACGUGGCCAAUCGAGGGCUACUCCACGUAUUCCUUCCUGCACACUAUAGCAAACAAUCAUACUUACACUGCGGAACCAAUGGGGGUGGUGGCGACCGCAUAUACUCCGACGAUCAAAUCAUUCGAUGGUGAUUAGAACAGAGUUGGAAUUGUGCAAAAGUGGGGAGGAGAAAAAUUAUACUUAUGUGGAGUGCCAAGUUAUUUUAUUAAGAUUUCAUUAUCUUUGUAUUUUGCCAAACCUUCGGUAUUUAUAGGCAAUAGGCAUCGUUGGAUGUGAGACAUGUGUAUGCAUCUAACGGUGCAAGGCGUCAAAUCAGCUGCAUCUAGAGGGGGCAGAUAAUUAAUUCAUCUAAAUUGUGAGUUGACAUAAAGUUGAGAUGUCACAUCAAUCAAUUCAUGAAGAUAAAAUGGGAUCUUGACACAAAGAUACAUCUCUGAAAUUGACGACGAAAAGGCCUCUACUGCAGUUCCUCGAAUCCCCUUACACUUUGGUGAAGGGGUGGAUGCCUCGGUGGUGAUGACUGUGCUUCGUAGCUUGUUAAUAUUGAGGUUCGACUGAGGCGUAGUAAACUUAUAUCACUCCGGAACCACUUCGGCUGGACAGGUAGCGUCUCGCUGAGGAGUAAAUAUGACGCGCCGAAGUGGGUUAUUGAGGGGCGUAAUAAUAAUAAACUGGUGUUGGAAAUUGGAAAUUGAAACUUGAUGAUAGUUUUUAAUUUGUGAUUUUUACGAUUUUGUACAUUUAUAUAUGGAUUGAAGAAUUAUUUUUAUAUUAUUUAAUUAAAUAUAUGGUCAACGAUCAACGAGAUCCCUAACUGACCUACAAUUCUCAA